AGAGUUUGAUUAUGGCUCAGGAUGAACGCUAGCGGCAGGCUUAAUACAUGCAAGUCGUGGGGCAGCAGGGCUGUAGCAAUACAGUCGCUGGCGACCGGCAAACGGGUGCGGAACACGUACACAACCUUCCUUUAAGUGGGGAAUAGCCCGGGGAAACCCGGAUUAAUACCCCGUAUUAUAAUAGAGUGGCAUCGCUUUAUUAUUAAAGCUCCGGCGCUUGAAGAUGGGUGUGCGGCUGAUUAGGUAGUUGGCGGGGUAACGGCCCACCAAGCCUACGAUCAGUAACUGGUGUGAGAGCACGACCAGUCACACGGGCACUGAGACACGGGCCCGACUCCUACGGGAGGCAGCAGUAAGGAAUAUUGGUCAAUGGACGCAAGUCUGAACCAGCCAUGCCGCGUGGAGGAUGAAGGUCCUCUGGAUUGUAAACUUCUUUUAUCUGGGAAGAAACCCAUGGAUUCUUCUGUGGUUGACGGUACCAGAUGAAUAAGCACCGGCUAACUCCGUGCCAGCAGCCGCGGUAA
This 524-nucleotide ribosomal RNA is filed under the name uncultured Sphingobacterium sp. RNAcentral describes it as "bacterial SSU rRNA". It matches the Rfam family "Bacterial small subunit ribosomal RNA", at positions 8 to 523 of the family's 1533-position model. The record is from RNAcentral. Lineage: Bacteria; Pseudomonadati; Bacteroidota; Sphingobacteriia; Sphingobacteriales; Sphingobacteriaceae.